ACCUACGGGACGCAGCAGUGGGGAAUAUUGCACAAUGGGCGAAAGCCUGAUGCAGCAACGCCGCGUGAGCGAUGAAGGCCUUCGGGUCGUAAAGCUCUGUUGCGGGGGAAAAAAGGCAGCAUCAGGAAAUGGGUGCUGACUGAUGGUGCCCCGCCAGAAAGUCACGGCUAACUACGUGCCAGCAGCCGCGGUAAUACGGAGGAUGCGAGCGUUAUCCGGAUUUAUUGGGUUUAAAGGGUGCGUAGGCGGAAUGCCAGGUCAGCGGUAAAAUCGCGGGGCUCAACCUCGCUCCGCCGUUGAACCUG
This 305-nucleotide ribosomal RNA is filed under the name uncultured bacterium. RNAcentral's name for it is "bacterial SSU rRNA". It matches the Rfam family "Bacterial small subunit ribosomal RNA", at positions 337 to 635 of the family's 1533-position model. The record is from RNAcentral.